This 253-nucleotide ribosomal RNA is filed under the name uncultured bacterium. Its description in RNAcentral is "partial 16S ribosomal RNA". It matches the Rfam family "Bacterial small subunit ribosomal RNA", at positions 524 to 776 of the family's 1533-position model. The record is from RNAcentral.
UACGUAGGGGGCAAGCGUUAUCCGGAAUUACUGGGCGUAAAGCGCACGCAGGCGGUUCGCCAAGUUUGGAGUGACAGUUGUCGGCUCAACCGACAAAGGACUUCAAAAACUGGUGAACUUGAGGACGAGAGAGGAACAUGGAACUCCAGGUGUAGUAGUGAAAUGCGUAGAUAUCUGCAGGAACACCCGUGGCGAAGGCGGCUGACUGGAUCGCAACUGACACUGAGGAACGAAAGCUAGGGGAGCAAACAGG